This 3654-nucleotide long non-coding RNA is filed under the name Homo sapiens (human). Its description in RNAcentral is "HSALNT0356450". Lineage: Eukaryota; Metazoa; Chordata; Mammalia; Primates; Hominidae. The record is from RNAcentral.
ACGCCCCAAGACUGAAGUUCAGGUGGAAGCUGCCCCAAGGGCUUCUUUGGAUAUUCAUCCUCUUUACCUGAAAAGAAAGAGAAAGGCUAAACUCAUCAUUUCAAUCUGGGAUCUCCCUGGAAUUUUACAUUAAUUAUACCUCCCCAUGUGACGCCAUCCACAAAUCUGAACACCACGCUACCAAUGCUUUCAUCCAAGUGACUGGUAACAAGUACUGAACUGAGUAAGAACAAAAAUGGAGCACCCUAACUUCUCUAAAAGGUAAAGAACUCUCAAAGGAAAUGGAGGAUGCCCUAUAUAGAAAAAUUAAAUAAAGAAUAUGAACAGGAAACUCAAAGAAGAAAAGAGCAGGUAAAUAUAUCACAAGUUAUCAGAAAAAUGCAAAUUAAAAUACUUCUAAAUUGGUAUAUCUCACUACUGUGGGCUUGGAGAAACAAAUUCUCCAAUUUGACAAUGCAUAUUGAAAUGUUUGAUCUAGGAAUUCCACCUCUGAGAAUUUAUCCUAAGACAAUUAAGGGAUAUGCAAAAUAUUUGCUAUAAGGAUGUUCAAAACUGCAUUCUUUUAGAAAACUUAUAUCCUCAGCAUAGAGGAUUUGUGAAAUUCAGUAACAAUUAUGAAACAAAAAUAUGGUGAAAUAAGGUAUAGAAACUUGUAGCAGCCUACUGCCAUAUUAAUGUAUUUUUAACACUAACUAGUUAAAAAGAAAGUUAUAGACAAUAUGUGUAGUAUAAUCUCAUUUACUAUGAAUGACAUACAGGCAUAAAUCAAUACAUAUGUCUACAAAAAUGACUGAAAGAAAUAAACGCUAGUAGUCAUUAAUAUAGUUUUUAAAUGCUCUUAGAUUGAAUGAUUAUUUUUCCUUAAGUACUACAUAUUUUUUCUGCUGUAAACAUGUAUUAAUCUGAGUAACAGAGAAGUAUGAAGUUUAAAAGCACAGAAUACUGUUCUACAGGUAGGAUGACAUAAAUCUGCAGUUUUGGUGUAUGACUUGUAAAAAAUAUUUUUAGCUUAUCCAAAAAAGUAUUUUAAGACUUUGCCAGACACUUUACUUUUGUUGAUGGCAUUCUUCCAAUUCAUUAAAUGAGCAAUCUUACCAAAAAACAAAGUCAGAUUAAUCAAGUAUGGCAUCGCUUGAUGGAGUCAUGAUGAGUGAUCACCUUCUUUGCUUUCUGAGUGAUCAAAAAUCCAUUUUUAAUUAAUCCAUUUAUUGAUUCUUGCCUCAGACAGGCAUCAUGUUUACUUGUCUGUGAUUUACAUUAUUCAACUUUAAUCCUCUGUAAAAAGUGGAACUACAUUUUUCUUAUCGCUGCCCUUCAAACACCUGCUUGGCUCCACAUCCUUUCCCAGAUGACUGUCAAUCACAGUUCACUCAGUCGAAUGGUAUGUUCCAGGGUCUCUUAGUCACAGCUUGGCCGCACUUGGCUUCAAGUUCCUCCUAUCAAUAUUUAUUCAAAUGUUCUCAUUCUAAAACCUCUUUUUCACUGAAAACAUGGAAGCGAAACACUACUGGACUACUGCCUACACCCCUCACUCAGAGGAGUGGUCCUGUCCUUCCCCUAGUUCUCAUUCAAAUACACAGAGGCCCUUGGCUGGCGUUAGUUACAAGGACAGGGUAGGGAAGAGAGGUCAAGGACAGCAGCAAGAUGGUUUCAUAAAACACCAGUGUGGUGCAGGAAACAAUAAACUGUAGCGUGGGAGUGGAGGGGAGGAGGUGUGGGAAAAAUGCGGAACACCUUUGAGGAAAAUGUUGCCAUGGCAUGGUCUAUUCCUAUGUUGUGAUAUUCACAGAUUUUCAUUCUGGAAUCCUUUAGCCACAGAGGAGGCACAUAUCAGUAAAGACUGAGCUGGACACAUAGUAAAAUGUAGAAUUACCAAUAUAAGGCAUGUGUUUCUUAGGAGAAAGAAAAAACCAAUUGAGAAGUAAUGGAAGGACUGAGGUGGUAAUUUCAGGCACAAAACAAAAUGCAAAGGUAUGUGUCAUACAUACGUAGGAGAUUUAAUUUUUUAAUAUAAGGAGUAAGAAAAAUAUUUACCUUAUAAUUAAUUCUACUUUAUAUUCCAGUAAACACAGAAAUGUCUCUCUCUAAGGAAGAGGGCCUAAUAGUCUACACAUCACACAUCUAUGCAUCAUAUUAGAAUUAAAGGAAAAGUUUAACACGUUCCAUUUAUUGAAUGGACAAGAGGCCAAAAUGCACACUGGGGAAAAACAAUCUGUGGCUGUUCUGCAAUGUCCAAAAAGCAGCAUCUUAAAGUUCUUUCAUGGCAGCCCCUAAUAUCUUUUCCCUCCCCCUAGUAGGCUAUAACCUACUUACUUCUUUUGUAUUCCUUCCCAUAGUAUCUAAAAGCAUAAUACAAUCACAAGGAAGGUGUUGACAAUGUUCGUUCACUCAACUAUUCAUAUGAGUUAGAGUAAUGACACACUGUCCAUAUACACAGGCAGAAACCUGAGGGUUAUAAAUAUCCAAGAUCCAUAUUGCUAAGAAAUUAGAUGUAGCAGGGUUCGGGGGGGAAGAAAUCCAGUACAGACAAAAUGACGCUGCCUCUAAUCCAUUCCUAAAUGAUAACCUCUCUUUAGGAACUACUGUUUAAGAGGAAUAUGGCAAAUACCUCAACUGUAGAAAAACAUUUAGAGGUUAUGGCCUCUUUGCUCUGCAGAGAUUUUCAAUAAGGAUGCAAAAGGCAGGAGACAGGGAUAUAAGAAAGCCUUUCAAAUACAGGUGCUGAAAAACCCAUUCCUCCACAUUUUAAAGACAAUAAACCAAGUGAGGCUGGAGGCCCCGCACAGUGGGGGAUGGGCAUUCCCAAGUGCCCAGAUCAGACUACAGGGCUGGGGUUUGCUUCACUUUAAACAGUGCCAGCUCACUCCUGCUUUCUAGAGUGAUCCAUGGCCAGGGAGCAGGCUAAAUACUAACAAGUAUAGCCCGUGCACGCUCAUGAUACCUGCACCAACGUCCAUCUCCCAUGAACAUUUGCUGAUGCUAACGCUGCGAUUAUGCCAUCUACACAUUUCUCCCACAGCUGCCUAACACCUCUGAAUAGUGUAAUAUUCUCAGAAAUUCCACAAUGAGCAGUGUAUAUACAGCUUACGUUUCCAGGGAGGCCCUCAGGCCCCCGGGGCAGCGCUGUGGAGGUAGUAACGCUGUGCCUCUCAUGAGGAGGAGAAGCAAGAAGGGGCGGAGACAGUGAAGGAGAGGUGAGGAAGAAGGAAGACGUGGCGGGGAGGUCACGGAAGGCAAGUAAUGGAGAGGACCAGAGAAGCAGCCAGCAGCGCAGAGGGCAUGAGGAUGGAGAAGGUGGAGGAUGGAGGCAGCCGCAGGGAACCUCAUGGAGGGCCCGCGGGGACUCGCUGGCUUUUCACAGCCUCUGUAGGGACAGAGGCCUCGGCUCCACCAGCAAUACGGAACCCAAGGACGCCAUGCCAGGAUCUGGCCUCUACUAUGAUGAAGAGGAAAAUCUCCUUGACUUCAUUACAGAGGCGGUUCCUUUCUAGAGAUUAAUUAUUCAACCUCCACUGAACUGAAAACACAUCAUGCAGACCCUGUAAGAAGGACGAAUGCCAUCACCAGUAACAUUUUUAUAUGCCAAUUAGUAUUCUCUACCCUUCUUCACAGAAGUAGGUCCAAAUAAAGCAUUCAACAUUUUGGUGUGAUCUA